RNAcentral lists this ribosomal RNA (515 nucleotides) under uncultured Staphylococcus sp. RNAcentral describes it as "bacterial SSU rRNA". It matches the Rfam family "Bacterial small subunit ribosomal RNA", at positions 28 to 525 of the family's 1533-position model. The record is from RNAcentral. Lineage: Bacteria; Bacillati; Bacillota; Bacilli; Caryophanales; Staphylococcaceae.
GAUGAACGCUGGCGGCGUGCCUAAUACAUGCAAGUCGAGCGAACAGAUGAGGAGCUUGCUCCUCUGACGUUAGCGGCGGACGGGUGAGUAACACGUGGAUAACCUACCUAUAAGACUGGGAUAACUACGGGAAACCGGAGCUAAUACCGGAUAAUAUAUUGAACCGCAUGGUUCAAUAGUGAAAGACGGUUUUGCUGUCACUUAUAGAUGGAUCCGCGCCGCAUUAGCUAGUUGGUAAGGUAACGGCUUACCAAGGCAACGAUGCGUAGCCGACCUGAGAGGGUGAUCGGCCACACUGGAACUGAGACACGGUCCAGACUCCUACGGGAGGCAGCAGUAGGGAAUCUUCCGCAAUGGGCGAAAGCCUGACGGAGCAACGCCGCGUGAGUGAUGAAGGUCUUCGGAUCGUAAAACUCUGUUAUUAGGGAAGAACAAAUGUGUAAGUAACUAUGCACGUCUUGACGGUACCUAAUCAGAAAGCCACGGCUAACUACGUGCCAGCAGCCGCGGUAAUA